This 506-nucleotide ribosomal RNA is filed under the name uncultured bacterium. RNAcentral's name for it is "bacterial SSU rRNA". It matches the Rfam family "Bacterial small subunit ribosomal RNA", at positions 29 to 507 of the family's 1533-position model. The record is from RNAcentral.
AAUGAACGCUGGCGGCGUGCCUAACACAUGCAAGUCGUACGAGAAAUCCCGAGCUUGCUUGGGAGAGUAAAGUGGCGCACGGGUGAGUAACGCGUGGGUAACCCACCUUCGAAUCUGGGAUAACUCCGCGAAAGCGGUGCUAAUACCGGAUAAGACCACAGCCGUUUCGGCGGCAGAGGUAAAAGCUGACCUCUCCAUGGAAGUUAGCGUUCGAGGACGGGCCCGCGUCCUAUCAGCUUGUUGGUGGGGUAAAGGCCUACCAAGGCAGCGACGGGUAGCUGGUCUGAGAGGAUGAUCAGCCACACUGGAACUGGAACACGGUCCAGACUCCUACGGGAGGCAGCAGUGAGGAAUUUUGCGCAAUGGGGGAAACCCUGACGCAGCAACGCCGCGUGGGUGAAGAAGGCUUUCGGGUCGUAAAGCCCUGUCAGGUGGAAGAACCGUUUCGAUACUAAUAAUGUCGAAGCCUGACGGUACCACCAGAGGAAGCACCGGCCAACUCCGUG